This 497-nucleotide ribosomal RNA is filed under the name uncultured bacterium. RNAcentral's name for it is "partial 16S ribosomal RNA". It matches the Rfam family "Bacterial small subunit ribosomal RNA", at positions 28 to 507 of the family's 1533-position model. The record is from RNAcentral.
GAUGAACGCUGGCGGCGUGCCUAAUACAUGCAAGUCGAGCGAACAGACGAGGAGCUUGCUCCUCUGACGUUAGCGGCGGACGGGUGAGUAACACGUGGAUAACCUACCUAUAAGACUGGGAUAACUUCGGGAAACCGGAGCUAAUACCGGAUAAUAUAUUGAACCGCAUGGUUCAAUAGUGAAAGACGGUUUUGCUGUCACUUAUAGAUGGAUCCGCGCCGCAUUAGCUAGUUGGUAAGGUAACGGCUUACCAAGGCAACGAUGCGUAGCCGACCUGAGAGGGUGAUAGGCCACACUGGAACUGAGACACGGUCCAGACUCCUACGGGAGGCAGCAGUAGGGAAUCGUCCGCAAUGGGCGAAAGCCUGACGGAGCAACGCCGCGUGAGUGAUGAAGGUCUUCGGAUCGUAAAACUCUGUUAUUAGGGAAGAACAAAUGUGUAAGUAACUAUGCACGUCUUGACGGUACCUAGUCAGAAAGCCACGGCUAACUGCGUG